Molecule: ribosomal RNA, 253 nt
Filed under: uncultured bacterium
Lineage: Bacteria
Description: partial 16S ribosomal RNA
Rfam family: Bacterial small subunit ribosomal RNA
Source: RNAcentral
UACGUAGGGUGCAAGCGUUGAUCGGAAUUACUGGGCGUAAAGCGUACGCAGGCGGCUUUGCAAGUCAGGUGUGAAAUCCCCGGGCCUAACCUGGGAACUGCAUUUGUGACUGCAUGGCUAGAGUCUGGCAGAGGGGGGUGGAAUUCCACGUGUAGCAGUGAAAUGCGUAGAGAUGUGGAAGAACACCGAUGGCGAAGGCAGCCCCCUGGGAUGAGACUGACGCUCAUGUACGAAAGCGUGGGGAGCAAACAGG